UGAAUACGAGACGCUAAGGCGUCGAAGUAGUGUAUGUCAUACUUCCAAGAAAAGCUUGCACUGUCAUAGAUAAAAAACGCCUGUACCAUAACCGACACAGGUGGGUAGGUAGAGUAUACUAAGGGGCGCGAGAUAACUCUCUCUAAGGAACUCGGCAAAAUAACUCCGUAACUUCGGGAGAAGGAGUGCCUUAUUCGUAAGGUUGCAAUAACAAGAUCCAAGCAACUGUUUAUCAAAAACACAGGUCUCCGCUAAGUCGUAAGACGAUGUAUGGGGGCUGACGCCUGCCCAGUGCCAGAAGGUUAAAGAAGUUGGUUAGCAAUUGCGAAGCUGACAACUGAAGCCCUGGUGAACGGCGGCCGUAACUAUAACGGUCCUAAGGUAGCGAAAUUCCUUGUCGGGUAAGUUCCGACCCGCACGAAAGGCGUAACGAUUUGGAUACUGUCUCGGAGAGGGGCUCGGUGAAAUAGACUUGUCUGUGAAGAUGCGGACUACCUGCACCAGGACAGAAAGACCCUAUGAAGCUUUACUGUAACUUGAAAUUGAAAUUGGACUUUAUUCGCGCAGUAUAGGUGGGAGGCGUUGAUUAUAAUCUUGUGGGAUUAUUGGAGCCAUCAGUGAGAUACCACUCUUGUAAUGUUAGAUUUCUAACUUUGAAUCAUUAUCUGGUCAAAGAACAGUUUCAGGCGGGCAGUUUGACUGGGGCGGUCGCCUCCUAAACGGUAACGGAGGCGUACAAAGGUUUCCUCUGAACGGUUAGAAAUCGUAUCUAGAGUGUAAAGGCAUAAGGAAGCUUGACUGUGAGACCUACAAGUCGAGCAGGGACGAAAGUCGGUCUUAGUGAUCUGACGGUACUGAGUGGAAAGGCCGUCACUCAACGGAUAAAAGUUACUCUAGGAUAACAGGCUGAUCUCCCCCAAGAGUUCACAUCGACGGGGAGGUUUGGCACCUCGAUGUCGGCUCAUCGCAUCCUGGGGCGGUAGUACGUCCCAAGGGUUGGGCUGUUCGCCCAUGAAAGCGGUACGCGAGCUGGGUUCAGAACGUCGUGAGACAGUUCGGUCCAUAUCCGGUGUAGGCGUUAGAAUAUUGAGAGGAGCCUUCUUUAGUACGAGAGGACCGAGAAGGACAUACCUCUGGUGUACCAGUUAUCGUGCCAACGGUAAACGCUGGGUAGCUAUGUAUGGAGUGGAUAACCGCUGAAAGCAUCUAAGUGGGAAGCCCACCUCAAGAUAAGUAUUCAC
This 1241-nucleotide ribosomal RNA is filed under the name metagenome. RNAcentral's name for it is "bacterial LSU rRNA". It matches the Rfam family "Bacterial large subunit ribosomal RNA", at positions 1564 to 2815 of the family's 2925-position model. The record is from RNAcentral.